AACCAGCUCUUCAAGUGGUCGGGACUUUUAUCGGGCUUAAAGUGUCCGUAGCCGGUUUGAUAAGUUCCUGGUUAAAUCUGGCAGCUUAACUGUCAAUUCGCUAGGAAUACUGUCUUACUAGAGGGUGGGAAAGGUCUGAGGUACUCCAGGGGUAGCGGUGAAAUGCGAUAAUCCUUGGGGGACCACCAGUGGCGAAGGCGUCAGACUGGAACACGCCUGACGGUGAGGGACGAAAGCCAGGGGGAGCGAACGGGGAUUAGAUACCCCGGUAGUCCUGGCUGUAAACGAUGCGUGCUAGGUGUUGGUAGGGCUCGGAGCUGUAUCAGUGCCAAAGGGAACUGUUAAGCGCGCCGCCUGGGAAGUACGCUCGCAAGAGUGAAACUUAAAGGAAUUGGCGGGGGAGCACCACAAGGGGUGAAGCCUGCGGUUC
This 430-nucleotide ribosomal RNA is filed under the name uncultured archaeon. RNAcentral's name for it is "bacterial SSU rRNA". It matches the Rfam family "Archaeal small subunit ribosomal RNA", at positions 474 to 903 of the family's 1478-position model. The record is from RNAcentral.